GAUUUACCAUUGUGUUUAGGGCUUCCAGCAGGGAUUUCUACAGUAUCUCAGACUGGUUCACUGCUUUCCUCACUGAACACAGGGGCUCAGGGAAUACUCUGGGAUUUUUUUUUUUUUUGAGAGCUCUUGUAUGAUUGGGUCAUAGUUUUUUGUUUUUUUUCAGAACUUCUGUGAGAGUAAUGACUUUUAAUAAACACUUUUACCAUGAACUUCAGGGCCUGCACCAGGGUCUCAGCAAGAUUGUGGAUCUUUUAUAUGGUGUCCUGUGUCCCAGUGCUUUUACAGCUCACCAACAAAGCUCCUGUCUUCUCACACUCUGUAGAGGGCCUCCACCUUACACAGUGUACCUGUAGUUCUCAGGCCAGUCUCAAGAUUUGAAUGUGACUCUGGGCAAUCCAUAAAAUUUCAGGCAUGUUCAGAUGCUUUCCAUAAAUUUGUGUGACUCAAAGUCAUUUAAAAGUGUCUCUUGUCAUUGAGAACCUUUACUCAGUUCUAAUUGGUAUCCUAAUUGGCUUUUCCCAGUGUGUCACUGGAAUUAAGUGCAUUUGCAGGCCAUCAAGGAGUCUCAUUGAGUCUGGCAGUGAUUCAGUGGAUUGUAGGUUUUUGCCCAGGAUCUCAGUGGGUUUCAUGGUCUCCUCCAGUGUCAGAGUCAUGAUUAGCACAUUCCUCCAGAGUCUAAGUGUUCUCUUUCUUUUCCUUAUGCAUCCAGAUCAGCUCUUGGACAUUCUCCAGAUCUCAGUGUGAUUCAAAAUGUUCCCAGUUAGUCAAAGUAACAAAGGCCUUGCCAGUUCCUGGGGAACUCAUGGCCAUUACCAGGCUCUCAGAUUUUCCUCAAUACCUUACAGUGUCUAAGUCAUGUUCACUGGUAUUCCAAAAGUGUCACCAUGGCUUCUAUUAUUCCUUAAAGACACACUAUUCUAGAGUUUCUGCUCAGGUCUCAGAAAAAUCUCAGCAACUUUUCCAAUUUGUCAGUAAAGUUUAUUGCCAUUCUCAGGGUCACAGUGUUCCUCAGGUUCAGCCUUGAGUCUUACUGAGACUCCUGGCAUUCCCCAGAGUCACAGUGGUGCCCAGGGCCUUCUUCAGUCUCAGUGCUGCCAUGUUUUUCUCAGGCACUACAGUGACACUAUACUGUUCCCAGGUUACACUGAUGAUCAGGGCCUAUUUUGGUGUCUCAGUAACCAUCUUGGUAUCAGAGGAGUUGGGUGUCUUUUCCAUGUCAGUGUUCCUCAGGGCCUACUCUAGAAUCUCAGAAGGGCUUAAUGCCUUGCCCAGAAUUUCAAUCUUGUUUAGAAAGUUUCACAUUGUCUUCAUGGUGCUUGGGAUAUUGCCUAGUUUUUAGAACAUGCUAAAGGCUUCAAUAAAAGAAUCUCAAAUUUGUUAAUUGUAUUUACUAUUGUCUCAGUGGUGUUCAAAAUAUCCAUCAGAUUUUUAAGAAGGCAAAGGGCCCUCCUUACAUUGGCAGGUGUUUGCACAACUUUCCCAAGACUUAGUAUUUUCAUUGCCUUCUCAGAUCUCAGUGCAGAUCAGCUCCAUCCAAAAUUUUACCAUUUUCUCAGGGCCUUCCCAGGGCCUCGAUAAGUGACAUUUCCUUUUAUAGGGGAAUACUUGGUUUCAGAGCUAACCUCAGGGUCUCCUGUUGUUUAAGAAUCCCAGUGCUAUUCUCAGAGUCUCAGUGAUGCAAAUGCUUAGUCAAGCUUCAUUGUGAUGCUCUAAAUCUUCCCAAUAAAAAUACAGUUUUCAUGGCUGUUUAAUUUUCAGGAAAAUUUUUAGGAUUUCAGCAUGACUCACAACUGUACAUAGAAUUUCAGGGGUGUUCCAUGAGUUUGUGUGAUUCAAAGGCCUUUAAAAAAGUCUAUUGGCAUUCAUGGUUUUUGUUAGUGUCUCAGUAAAUCUCAGCACUUUCCCCAGGUUCUCAGUGGAGUUCAUUGCCAUUCUCUGGGUCACAGUGUUGCUCAGGUCCUGCCCAGAGUCUUUGUCCCAGGGCAUUCCCCAGGAUUACAGUGAUCUCCAGGUCCUUUUGCAGAGUAUUUGUCAUGUCAUUUCCUUCCUAGGCAUUCAGUGAUGCUGUAGUUUUCCCAGGAAACACUGAUUAUCACUGCCUAUGCCAAAUUCUCAGUGACAGGAAGGGUAUCCAAGGGACUCAGCAUCUUUCCCAGGGUCAGUGGGCCUCAGAGCCUACCCUAGAGUCUUGUAGCUGGGUUGAUGUUAUACACAGAUGGAGGUAAGCAAAGUGGGUAGUAUCUGUUUUUAUUAAAUUGAUAAAUUCCUGGACCUCUGAUGGAAGGUAACACACAGAUGCAUCUGUGAGAUCCUUUUAUACUUUAUUUUCAGUUGCUGUAGAAGCUCAUAGAUAUUUUCAUUAAAACACUUGCUCACUAAUGAAGCUGUUUUCCUGUUUUCCCAACAGACUUGUGCCAUUGUCAAUAACUGUUCUUACUGGAUGCCCUUCUGAGACCCCAUGUGGGAAUCUGUAAAUCCAUGGGGCCUAUAGUCUAAUGCACUUUGGGAAAUGGAUAAUGUUCAUUUCCUUUCCAUCUCACUUUUAUCCUUUUUCCUUUCUCCAUGUUUCCAUUAGGACUCAUUCUGGGUUCAUUAGGGCUAGUGCCCAUGGGUCUGAAAAGGUACCUGCUUGCAUUUCUAAUUUUUUACUCUGCUUUGUCACUAUGGACAAAUAAAUUUUAAAAUAUAUCAAUAUAUGCACUUUCAUAUAUGUCCUAUGCUUUUGCAUAAUUUUGUACUCAUUGGAUUGACUGUCACAGCUUACAAAAAAGUAUGAAAUUAGCCUUUGCUAUGGUGAAAAAUAUGAAUUAUAACUCUAUGGAAAUCAAUAUGUUAAAUGAAGAAAAAAAAUCAUUAAGUCAUUCUUCACAAUUGGGCUGAAAUUGAUUAUUUAUUAUUAUUACAUCAUAAAGGCUGUAAUGACCUUAACAAUAUGUGUUACUUUAAUAUAAGGGACAAUAGUAACUCCAUUUCAAAAGAGUUAGAUUACCUUGUAGACAUCAUUAAAAAGAUCCAAUAGGGUUAUGGAAGUUUAGAUAUAUUGGAUUGGUUAACUGUGUGGUUAACCAAUCUUACUUGGAUUAAACAACUAGUCAUAGGUGAGUAUUACAUAGGUGAGUGUAAUACUGGGAUUGUUCUUUUGUUUUUGUUGUUGUUGAAGCCUACCCUAUUUUUUACCUCCACCAAUAUUAAAAAACAAAACAAAAAAUAAACCCCAAAUGUUAUCCCUCCAAAAGGCCACACAAAACAAAAAAAGGAGGAGCUGUAAGGCUCUGACUGUGGAAAUGUAUUUAACAGCAAGUGUCUCUGGUGAGCAAACUCCUGGAGAACAAGAGGUGUCCUGUUUCCCACAGCUGGAACAUUCUGCAGUUUCUCCCAGACACUAUUACUAAAACUAAUGCAUGCUCAACCAGAACACCUAAUGUACUAAUGGUGCAGUGAGCUAAUGUAACCUAUCAGUAUAAAUAAAGACAGCUGCUUAGACAAGCAGCCAUUUUGCCUCUGCAUCUUGCUUUCUUCUCUUUUUGUUUCCUUACAGUCUCAGGACAGUCGCAGUUCAUAGAUUCACAGGUUCUUCAAUGUUUUACUGGUUUGUUUGCCUUCUCACACAGUCAUUGGCGCUUAGCAACAUUGACACAUUCACAGUCAUGCAGAAUGCCUGCCUCUGACCCUUCAUGAUGUCAAGGAUUUUCUUCAAGGUAUCUAUAUCUUUGGUAUUUUCUCAACAUGAGUAAAUCUCAUGGUCAACUCUAGCAUCUAAGAUCAGGGCCUACCCAGCAGCUCAAGAGGACCCAAGGACUUAACCAGAAUUUCAAUCAUGUUUAGAAAGGUCCUCAUGGUCUCCAUGGUGCUCAGAUUAUUGCCCAGGUUUUAGAAUAGGCUAAAGUCCUACAAAAUCUCAGAGGGGUUAAGUUCAUUUACUGUUGACUCAAUAGUGUUCAAAAUCUACUCAGAGUAGUAGGGGGCUCAGGGUCUUCCUUAGGUUGACAGAUGUAUGCAUGGCCUUCCCCAAAAUCUCAGUGUCUCAUUGCCUUUCCAGAUUCUCAGUGAAGCACAGCAUAUUCCCAAGGUCUGUAAGAUCUCUGGGCCUUCCUGAAGGUUCUCAAUAGGUGCCAUUGGUUUCUCUAGGGGCUCGCUGAGUUUGAGAACCAUUCUCAGAAUCCCCUUCUCUUUAAGGGUCUUUUACACCUUCUCUAUGAGGCUCAGUGCUAUUCUUGGGAUCUCAGUGAUGCUCACUGCUUCUCCCAGCCUCAGAGAUAGUCUCUGAAUCUUUCCCAAGCAAAUAGUAGGUUCAGGAUCUUUCAGAGUUUCUCAUUGAAUCCCAGGGAUUUGCCCAGGGUCUCUGUGGAGCUGAGUGCCAUUUCCAGCAUCACAGUUGUGCUCAGCUGUUCUCCAGGAUUUGAUUUUAUGUCAGGACUUUCCCAAGAGUAGCAGUGAGAACUAGGGUUUUCCUUUCUAUUUCAGCAGGUUUAAGGACUCUUCAAAAUAUCUAGUUGUGCUUAGAUUCUUCUACAGUAUUCUAGAUAACUAAUGGCUUUCAUUAAUGACUCAAUGGGGAUUAGUGUCUUGCCAGUGUGUCAUUGAACUUAUGGGACAUUCCCAUUGUCACAGUGGUGGUCAGGACCUUCCACAUUGUGUCCUUUGUCCUCAGAGCCACCACAGGUUUCUGAGAAUAAGCUCAGGGCUGUCUCCAUGUGCUUUGAACUCUGAAGUAUUCUGCAUCAGGGUUAUUUAGGCCCUUGUCUGUCAGGUCUGUCUGCUGGAGAACACUUCACCCAUGACAUCAGUGAAGUUGUAAUAGGUUGUCCUUUUCUGAUAGGCAGCAGAAUUGCUGGGUUUAGAGCCUAUACAACUUCAAUGUGGAUUUGUGGAUUUUCACAGAACAUGCCCUGGUAUUUGACCAUUCUUUCAUUAUCAAGCCAAUAUUAUCCUUUGAACUUUUAUAAUGUCAAAAUUAAUGAGGAACACAGAUACCUAAUUCUUGUUUCAUAGCUUCCAACACCAGAAGGGCCAUGAUUGAAAGGGCCCAUAAGCAAGGAGGCCAGCCUUGGGCUACAUACAGAUUCCAGCUGUUUAGAUAGAUAGGCCACUGGAUGUGCCAUGUUCCCAACAUUUCAGAAAGACUCGUACAGCUAUUCCAUUUCAUUCAUAGACAUACAGGAAGAAGACUUUGUGAGAUCAGGGAGUCCUAGUUCAGGUGCAUUGGUGAGUGCUUCUUAAGUGUCUCAAAGGCCUUUUGUUUUGUUGGUCCACCAAAUAGCAGAUUCUGUUUUUUCCUUUGUGUGCCUUCAUAGAGAGGUUUUGCCUUAACUGAAAAGUUGGGGAUCCAUACACAGCCUAAUUAAACAGCACCAAAGAUCUCUGAUUUGGCAGCAGGUUGAAGGGACUGGAAUUGAGCAGGUCACCUGUUUCCUCUUGUAGCCUAGUUGCAAGUGACUCUGAGUCAAACAGAAACCAAGGUAUUUGACUUUUUCUUGACAGAUCUGGGCUUUCUUUUUUGAAACUUUGCAAUGAGCCUUAAGUAGAAGAGUGAGAAGCCGCUGUGUUCCUUUUAUGCCAUCUUCUCUGGUUGUUAUCCCAGUAUUUCAAUUUAGCAGGCCAUGUAGUAGUCAUGGACUGCUAAGUUGAAAUGCUGGGAUAAGGGGAAAGGAUGAUGAGUUUGUUUCCUGGGGCCAUCUUAAUUGUGGUUUCUUCCUUUGAAAGUGGGCCCACAGUUUGGGUCACAACCAAAUGGUGAGCCCCAGUGUCCACCAUAAAUUUUAAAGGUUGGUCCCCUAUAAGUGUUGGGACCAUAGGUUUCUGGGUGCCCAAAGAGAUGGAGCCCAGUCAGUCCUAGUCCUCAUCAUAAUUUUCCAAGUCUUCGAAUCCCACAAACUUUUCUCAUGAGCAUCAUAGGGGUGUCUUUGUCAUUGAGCAUCAUGAGGGACACAUUUGUAGGGCUGGUAUUAUCCAUGAAGGACUUGUCCUCACUUAUCCUGGUAAGGAGUAGUAAGAACCCAGUUGACUUUCUUCAGUGUGGGGCAUUCAUUUUUCCAGUGUCCCUCUGGCAGUGGGUGCAUUGGUUUAGUCUCAGCCUAGUCUCCAGGUGAGGAGGUUGGUCCAGACCAUCCUCCAGCCCUGCAUCUGGUUCUGAUUCUGAUAUUUGUUUUGGCUUUGUCCUGGUGGGAACCCCUUUGGGUGACUUCUGGGUCUGUAGUAAGGGCAGCUGCAAGGAAAAACCAUCUUCUUCAUCUUUCAGUCUGCUUCUUGCUGGGUCUCUUGGUCUUGAUUGACAAACACUGUGGUGGCCACUUCAAACAGCUCACUGGCAUUAUUCCCAGCAAAACUCUCUAGUGUUUUGUAGUUUUAGUGACUCUCACUCUUGGUCUGUCCCACAAUGGUUGUGUUGUCCAUCUGCUGGUUGUCUGGUGCCUCAGGAUCAAAGGGAGUAAAAAGUCAGAGGCUUCACAAGGUUGUUCAUAGAACUGGCUGGGGAUUUCAUGAGGAUUUUGGAGAACUUCUGACAUCUUGUUCAUGUUUAGAGCUCUCCUUCCCUUCUUUGAAGUCCUAUGAGGGGUUGGUGAUAUAUCUAUAUCUUUUGGAGGUCUGUGUCUUUUCUGGGGUCCCACCCUGAGUCUCUGUUGGGGAACUGGGCAUGGGCAUAAACUUGGAUGUUGCCUUGUGCAUCUGGGACAUAUUUCUCUAGCCAUUUUAAAGUACAUGGGUCACACAUUUGCCCACAUCUAUAUUGAAUAAAGUAAGAAGUAGCUGGCAGCAGUUCCCCCAGUGUUUCAGUCAGCUGGUGUGACUAAAAAAAUCUGACCAGAACGAUUUUUAAAAAGGAAAAGUUUAUUUGAGGGCUCACAGUUUCAGAUGUCCUAGUCCAUAGAAGGCUGAGUUCAUUCCUUGGGGCUCCAGUUGAGGCAGAACUUCAUGGCAGAAGAAUGUGGCAGAGGGACACAGCUCACAUAUUGAUCAGUAAGCAGAGAGAGAGAGAUUCCACUUGUGAGAUACAAAUACAUAUCUAAAACCACACCUCAAUUCCCACCCCCUCCAGCCACACCCUACCACUUUAGUUAUGACUCAGUUAAUCUGUAUUAGAUGAUUAAAUAAUUAAUUGGAUUCAGACUGUUACACCCAACUAUUUUCCUCUGAAUCUUCUUGCAUUAUCUAACAUGUGAGCUUUGGGGGGACACCUUACAUUCAAACCAUAUCAAGCAGGUAGAUUAGUGGGUCUGGAUAAUGAAUUGCAUCAUAUUAAUCAUGGUCUGAGUUUUCUCUGUGUAGCAGGUAGUAUGAUAUUUCCAAUUUUAGAGAUAAUUUAGGUGAAAGCCUGAUACUUAAAAAUGCUUUGGGCCCCUCAGAUGAUCUCCUCCUGGUCAACAUAGGCAGGCCUUCUAGUCUCCCAUAGGGGCAUCUAGAGAGCUCUAAGUUUGGUUGUGGCUCUGGUCUUAGGAUGGGUUCCCAUCUUGGUCUUGCAAGGUGGAGGAGGAAUCUUUUUCCUUGGGGAAGCCUCUGGCCUUAAGUACCUUAUAGAGGAGGAGGAGCUGGCCAUAUUCUGCAGUUUCUAGAAAUGAGGGAACCAAAGGUCCUGCACAUUCUCAAUGGUCUUGGCAAUAUUGGCUAGAGUGGCAUGUAAGGAGGUGGGUUCUCUUCUGACUCACUGGACAAAAUAGGUUCUUGUUCUGCAAUUGCUUUGUAAGUUUUUCUCUGUCUAGUUGCCUUUUGGGGGUGUCUUAGAGGCUGGUAUAAUCUGAGCUAACAUCAAUUUGGAUUGUCCAUCUAGACAGGCUCUCAACCAAGGAAGGUGUUUCUAGACUAUCUCUUUCCAGCAAUCAAGGGAACUAUUCUGGGUAUCCAGGGAUUCCAACAACUAUUAAAAAGACUUCAGCAAUGAGAGUUUUAAUUAAAGAUCCUCCUGGUGGCCACACCUAAUCUUAGCCAUUCUAAUUCACAGAGAGUACACAAAUUUGUUGAGUAAACUUCACUCCAUAGUCUCUCCUAAAACCUUUAUUAAGGUUUCACAACAGAUAUUCCAAGGGCUUUAAGGGAUUUAGUUACUUUGUGUGCCUCCCAUAUUCCACCCUGCAUCAGUGUCACAUACUUCUGACAAGAAUCACAUAGUCCAUCUCCAGCCUUUCUCCUCUUAGGACUUGGAGUCCUCUCAGCCUUGUCGGUCCAUGUCAACCCCCAACCUGGAACUUCCACCUAGAUGUUGGUUGGUGCAAUUCUGUCACAGACUGUAUGAGGUUCCAUGGAACCAUGAAUUGGAACUCAGCACUCACUUUGUACUCAGGCUGGGUCUGAAUUCUUCCCUUGUCCAUCUCAUUUACACUUUCACAUAGACUGGUGUUAUGGGCCAGCCUAUAUGAGCAAUGACCAAACAGACUCCAUUUUAUCCUGAGACUCCAUGUCAUGUAAGAAAUGCUUCUCCCAUGAGAAAAUUCUGCCUCUGCCAUCCUGAUCCUGCUUAGCACACCCUGCUUAGAAAUAUUUUUUUCCUGUUCUUAUAUAAUGUAAACUGGUUUUGGUUUCCAUUUUUUUUUGGACAGUGUACCCUGUCAGAGAAAUAUUUUCUAGAUGUUAGUAAUCAUUCUUUAACUGGUAAUCAAAGGGGGUCAUUUGACCUUCUUCCCCUUCUGCUUAUGAUUUUAGAUAUUAUGUUAUUUGUUUACUUUGAAUCAUAGCAAGAGCCUCUUAUGAUUAAUAUGGUUUGGGACUAUAGAGCUGUACUCUAACCCUUGGAGGUGGUCAAAGAGUGUAAACUUGCAAUCUUCACCUUAGCCUAUCAGCUGGUAAAUCCAGACUACCAGCUGUUGAAUAAAUAUCCCAUCUCCUGCUUAAGACAGACUCAGUGAUUUAUUGCAAUCUUGCCAUAACAGUGGCCAGAGCAAUAUUUUAAAACCCCAUAUUACACUAACAAAAAGGGAGUCACGGUUUCCCCUAUGCUUGUUGACCCCUGGAUCCUUUUUGGCUCCAAAUCCUUUUGGAGGUUAUUCAGGAUGCUCAAAUGUUGACCAAGCCUCUCUUCCACCUACGUGGGCCUCUUGGUUGAAGUCAGAUGGGAUACAACUGAAGAAUUUGGGACCCUACCUGUUUGGUCAGGUGGUGCUCCAUGUUCCCUAUUCCUGGAUCCUUCUCCUCAUGGGUUCUGUUGUGGUUCAAAGUGGCAGCUCUGAGAUGUCAGGUGAGUCAUUCCUCCUUCAGUAGAGUUGCCUCUGUGGUGUGCUAAGGGGAAGCAAUGUCCUCCAACAUCCCAGACUCCAGAGACAAGAGAGGCAACUUCACCAUUUCCAUCCCAUGUGGAUUGCCAAAUGAUGCAGGACAGAUGAGGCUACACACCUGAGGAAUUGGCAGAAUGAAGGUUUAUUGGCAACAGCUGUUCAAAGUGUGGCUAUAUCCUAAAAUUUCCUCCACUGAACCAUUAGUCUAGAAACUCUUUGAACUUUAUACCCACUGGGAGGAGGGGCUUGGAUUUCUACUUUUGCUGGAGUCUACCUAAAAGUAUCUUAUUUCUUUGAGUUCAUAGAGAGUACUUUUUUCUAACUCUUCUUCUUCUUUUUUUUUUUUUUUUUUAGAGUGGUCUGAGG
Molecule: long non-coding RNA, 9569 nt
Filed under: Marmota monax (woodchuck)
Lineage: Eukaryota; Metazoa; Chordata; Mammalia; Rodentia; Sciuridae
Source: RNAcentral